UAAUGUCACUUUGACAGCAAACC
Molecule: microRNA, 23 nt
Filed under: Spodoptera frugiperda (fall armyworm)
Lineage: Eukaryota; Metazoa; Arthropoda; Insecta; Lepidoptera; Noctuidae
Description: sfr-miR-10480-3p
Source: miRBase by way of RNAcentral